UCCGUAGGGUGCAAGCGUUGUCCGGAUUUAUUGGGCGUAAAGAGCUCGUAGGCGGUUUGUCGCGUCGGCUGUGAAAACCCGAGGCUCAACCUCGGGCCUGCAGUCGAUACGGGCAAACUAGAGUGUGGUAGGGGAGACUGGAAUUCCUGGUGUAGCGGUGAAAUGCGCAGAUAUCAGGAGGAACACCGGCGGCGAAGGCGGGUCUCUGGGCCAUAACUGACGCUGAGGAGCGAAAGCGUGGGGAGCGAACAGG
This 253-nucleotide ribosomal RNA is filed under the name uncultured bacterium. RNAcentral describes it as "partial 16S ribosomal RNA". It matches the Rfam family "Bacterial small subunit ribosomal RNA", at positions 524 to 776 of the family's 1533-position model. The record is from RNAcentral.